RNAcentral lists this ribosomal RNA (957 nucleotides) under Triticum aestivum (bread wheat). Its description in RNAcentral is "partial small subunit ribosomal RNA". Lineage: Eukaryota; Viridiplantae; Streptophyta; Magnoliopsida; Poales; Poaceae. The record is from RNAcentral.
AUGGAUAUGGCGCACGAGAGGGACUCGAGCAGCGAGGAGGAGGUGAUGGCCGGCGACCUCCGCCGCGGGCCGUGGACGGUGGAGGAGGACAUCCUGCUCGUCAACUACAUCGCCGCGCACGGCGAGGGCCGCUGGAACUCGCUCGCCCGAUCAGCAGGUCUGAAGCGCACCGGCAAGAGCUGCCGCCUCAGGUGGCUCAACUACCUCCGCCCCGACCUCCGCCGCGGCAGCAUCACGCCGCAGGAGCAGCUGCUCAUCCUCGAGCUGCACUCGCGGUGGGGCAACCGCUGGUCCAAGAUCGCGCAGCACCUCCCCGGCCGCACCGACAACGAGAUCAAGAACUACUGGCGCACGCGCGUGCAGAAGCACGCCAAGCAGCUCAAGUGCGACGUCAACAGCCAGCAGUUCAAGGACGUCAUGCGCUACCUCUGGAUGCCCCGCCUCGUCGAGCGCAUCCAGGCCGAGGCGGUGCAGACAGCCGCUGACACGCCCCUGUCGUGGCAACACGGCGCGGACGACGCUCUCUACGAGUCACCAGAGCUCCCUGUCGAUGCGUGCUGGCCAGCGGAGUACGCCGCCGUGGCCGGCGGGCAGCUGCCCAACGCCUCGGUCGCGGAGCUGUCGAGCACUACUACCGCCGGCUCUUCCUCGCCGUCCACCACGGACUCUGGCGCCGGCGCCCAGCCCAGCUGGCCUGCAGCGGUUGACGGUGCCGAGUGGUUCACCACCGCCUGCGACGCCUCCAGCGCCGCCGCCACCAUGUGCGACACGGACCAGCUGAUCCAGCAGCAGCAGCAGCAGGCACCGUCCCAGCUGGCGGGAGCGUGGACGUCCGAGCCGCUGCCGAGCCUUGGGUUCCCCGAGCUGGGCGUCGCGGACUUCGAGAUCGGCAGCUUGGACGUGGACAGCAUCUGGAGCAUGGACGACUUGUGGUACACGCAGCCGCAGUUCGUGUGA